Molecule: transfer RNA, 52 nt
Filed under: Subulitermes group sp. A TB-2017
Lineage: Eukaryota; Metazoa; Arthropoda; Insecta; Blattodea; Termitidae
Description: tRNA-Leu
Source: RNAcentral
GGCAGAUAAGUGCGGUGGAUUUAAGCUCCAUAAAUAAAGUUUCAAACUUUCA